RNAcentral lists this ribosomal RNA (654 nucleotides) under Salmonella enterica subsp. enterica serovar Newport. RNAcentral's name for it is "partial 23S ribosomal RNA". It matches the Rfam family "Bacterial large subunit ribosomal RNA", at positions 1 to 688 of the family's 2925-position model. Lineage: Bacteria; Pseudomonadati; Pseudomonadota; Gammaproteobacteria; Enterobacterales; Enterobacteriaceae. The record is from RNAcentral.
GGGUUGUGAGGUUAAGCGACUAAGCGUACACGGUGGAUGCCCUGGCAGUCAGAGGCGAUGAAGGACGUGCUAAUCUGCGAUAAGCGCCGGUAAGGUGAUAUGAACCGUUAUAACCGGCGAUUUCCGAAUGGGGAAACCCAGUGUGACUCGUCACACUAUCAUUAACUGAAUCCAUAGGUUAAUGAGGCGAACCGGGGGAACUGAAACAUCUAAGUACCCCGAGGAAAAGAAAUCAACCGAGAUUCCCCCAGUAGCGGCGAGCGAACGGGGAGGAGCCCAGAGCCUGAAUCAGCAUGUGUGUUAGUGGAAGCGUCUGGAAAGGCGCGCGAUACAGGGUGACAGCCCCGUACACAAAAGCGCAUGUGUUGUGAGCUCGAUGAGUAGGGCGGGACACGUGGUAUCCUGUCUGAAUAUGGGGGGACCAUCCUCCAAGGCUAAAUACUCCUGACUGACCGAUAGUGAACCAGUACCGUGAGGGAAAGGCGAAAAGAACCCCGGCGAGGGGAGUGAAAAAGAACCUGAAACCGUGUACGUACAAGCAGUGGGAGCACCCUUCGGGGUGUGACUGCGUACCUUUUGUAUAAUGGGUCAGCGACUUAUAUUCUGUAGCAAGGUUAACCGAAUAGGGGAGCCGGAGGGAAACCGAGUCUUAAC